Callithrix jacchus (white-tufted-ear marmoset) is the source of this 1781-nucleotide non-coding RNA. Lineage: Eukaryota; Metazoa; Chordata; Mammalia; Primates; Cebidae. The record is from RefSeq and is a predicted model, not a curated record.
UUUUUUUAACUAAGAAGUGUCUUCAGUCAUCAUAGUCUUUUAUUUCACCUCUCUGUCAGAGUGCAAAUGCAUGGAUCUUAAGGCAUAUCAAGGUUUAAGACUAGAUUAAUGUGUGAAUAAUGUUAUACCAAAGUGAUUUUAUGCCUGGAAAAAAGAUAAUGCUAAAAUUAUCAAACAUUUAAAAAAUGCAGCAUGGCAUUAUUGGCGAGCUUCCUGAUUUGCUUCAUGUUAGUUAAAUAAGGCAACGUUUAACCAGUCAAAUUUUUCUCAUACAACCCAACAUUAUUUGGAGUGACCAUAGCAAACUCCAAGAAGUUCCUAUACCCAGUAUUAUCGCAGAAGGAGGAAAUUCGGUGUCAAUGUUUUUCAUGCAUAAACAAACAUAAUAUUAUAAAAUCCAUGUUGCCACAUUUCAAUACAUCUUAUAAACUGCUGCCAGAUAAAUCUCUCAAAAACACAGUUCUGAUGCUGUCACUCAUCUCACCAAGAGCAUUUAAUAGCAGGUUCUCAGCUAAAAGGAAACCUCUCUGGGAGACCCUGAAGCAGCCUUCAUUCAACCUUGCUCUAAAAUAUCUAAAAUGGCUCAGAAAAAUGGAAUAGUGGCAAUAUAAAAGAUCAAGACUGAUGGUCAAAAGACUGUCAUGUUUUAAAAGACAUUUCUAGUUAUUCUAAAGAUAAUGCACUUGGGGUGAAAAAAAAAAAAAACACUCGUUGCUUACUAUGCUUUACUCAAAGAAAUGCAUCAGCAAAUGCUGGCCGUCUGAAGGAAGGUAGGAAGAUAGUCCAUUCCUCUCUGUUUGCCCAAUGAACUCAGACCUGGGAAGGAGUUCAGCUUUCUGCUAGGUUCUCAGAAACUUGUUGAGCACAGUAUGUAGUAUUAAGCAGCCACAUGUAAGUUGGCAUAAAGCCCUGCUGUAGAGCAGUCUUUCUACUCUGCAACCCUUCUUGAGACAUGCUGUGCAGAAGACAGUAUGCAUACCAGGAACAAAACAGGUCAUGCUUCCUGACUCCUACUCACUAACUCCAUGACCUUGGGUGUCUUUGUGCCUCAGUCCUACGUCUAAAAUGGGAAUAAUAAGAGUGAAAGCACUACUUCAUCGAGAAGUAAGUGAGUUGAUUUUAUUAUUAAGGCAAUUUUUAGCUCAACACAAAAUAUAGCCACAGAGGAUUUUCUUAAUGCUUUGAAGAAAUAUUUUUUUAAGGCCAUACUUAAUCUUAAAACAAAUUCCUUUACUCCUCCCUGUACCAAGAGUCCCAGAGUGGUCGAAAUAAUCCGAAUUCUGCUAUCUCAGAGGAGAGGGAUAAACCACUUCCACACAACUGAGGCAGGCAUUUGGGCAGAGGACAUGCUGAAGGAAAGUUAAUAUUGACCAAGGGAGGAGGCAACGGGCAGAGAGGAGGGAACAGAACAAUGUCCACGUGGCUGAAAUAAAGGAUAUGACAGAGGAUUGGUGCAAGUUAAAGAUGGAAGUGGAGAUCUGUGGAGAAGGGCCUUGCAAGGAAGAGAACUUCAAGACUUUGAUUCCAAGUUUCUCCAUUUGUGUAAGCUGCAGAGUAGUCAUUGGCUUUCCCCUGUUAGAGAGUUGGCUUCCAUCACAUUUAGUCUAAAUCCCUGCAGACUUCUAGUUCCAAGCAUCUUAUAAAUACUACACUAAUGAAUUCUGCAACUCCAUUUCUUUUCAGUAUUUCUGUUUAAACUAUACUAAAUUCUUACCACUUAGCUUGUUACAAUAUGCCUGUAAGAUGAUUUAACUAUAUUGGUUUUCAAAAAUAAACUAAAU